CGUGUAGGCGGCCAGAUAAGUCCGCUGUGAAAACUCGAGGCUCAACUUCGAGCUGUCGGCGGAAACUAUCUGGCUAGAGUCCGGAAGAGGAGAGUGGAAUUCCUGGUGUAGCGGUGAAAUGCGCAGAUAUCAGGAAGAACACCCGUGGCGAAGGCGGCUCUCUGGGACGGUACUGACGCUGAGACGCGAAGCGUGGGAGCGAACA
This 205-nucleotide ribosomal RNA is filed under the name uncultured bacterium. RNAcentral describes it as "partial 16S ribosomal RNA". It matches the Rfam family "Bacterial small subunit ribosomal RNA", at positions 568 to 774 of the family's 1533-position model. The record is from RNAcentral.